Molecule: ribosomal RNA, 468 nt
Filed under: uncultured bacterium
Lineage: Bacteria
Description: partial 16S ribosomal RNA
Rfam family: Bacterial small subunit ribosomal RNA
Source: RNAcentral
GACGAACGCUGGCGGCGUGCUUAACACAUGCAAGUCGAACGGAAAGGCCCUGCUUUUGUGGGGUGCUCGAGUGGCGAACGGGUGAGUAACACGUGAGUAACCUGCCCUUGACUUUGGGAUAACUUCAGGAAACUGGGGCUAAUACCGGAUAGGAGCUCCUGCUGCAUGGUGGGGGUUGGAAAGUUUCGGCGGUUGGGGAUGGACUCGCGGCUUAUCAGCUUGUUGGUGGGGUAGUGGCUUACCAAGGCUUUGACGGGUAGCCGGCCUGAGAGGGUGACCGGCCACAUUGGGACUGAGAUACGGCCCAGAAUCCUACGGGAGGCAGCAGUGGGGAAUAUGGCACAAUGGGCGGAAGCCUGAUGCAGAAACGCCGCGUGCGGGAUGACGGCCUUCGGGUUGUAAACCGCUUUCGCCGGUGACGAAGCGUGAGUGACGGUAAUGGGUAAAGAAGCACCGGCUAACUACGUG